RNAcentral lists this ribosomal RNA (253 nucleotides) under uncultured bacterium. RNAcentral's name for it is "partial 16S ribosomal RNA". It matches the Rfam family "Bacterial small subunit ribosomal RNA", at positions 57 to 305 of the family's 1533-position model. The record is from RNAcentral.
GCAAGUCGAACGGUAGAAAGGUGCUUGCACCUUUUGAGAGUGGCGAACGGGUGAGUAACACGUAGAUGAUCUGCCUUUGGAUUGGGGAUAGCUCAUGGAAACAUGGGGUAAUACCGAAUAAGUUCUUUUGACCUUAGUCGAAAGAGGAAAGACGCGAUUGCGUCGUCCGAAGAUGAGUCUGCGGCUUAUUAGCUAGUUGGUAGGGUAAUGGCCUACCAAGGCGACGAUAAGUAGCCGGCCUGAGAGGGUGACC